UGCUUGCAAGCCCUCGCUGAAGGAUGAGUCCGCGUACCAUUAGCUUGUUGGUAGGGUAAUGGCCUGCCAAGGCGACGAUGGUUAGCUGGUCUGAGAGGAUGAUCAGCCACACUGGAACUGAGACACGGKCCAGACUCCUACGGGAGGCAGCAGUGAGGAAUCUUGCGCAAUGGGGGCAACCCUGACGCAGCAACGCCGCGUGAGUGAGGAAGGUCUUCGGAUCGUAAAGCUCUGUCAGUUGGGAAGAACUACCUAAGGGUUAAUACCUCUUAGGCUUGACGGUACCAACAGAGGAAGCACCGGCUAACUCCGUGCCAGCAGCCGCGGUAAUACGGGGGGUGCAAGCGUUGUUCGGAAUUAUUGGGCGUAAAGAGCGUGUAGGCGGCCUGAUGUGUCAAAUGUGAAAGCCCUGGGCUUAACCCAGGAAGUGCAUUUGAAACUGUCAGGCUUGAA
Molecule: ribosomal RNA, 453 nt
Filed under: uncultured bacterium
Lineage: Bacteria
Description: bacterial SSU rRNA
Rfam family: Bacterial small subunit ribosomal RNA
Source: RNAcentral